Homarus americanus (American lobster) is the source of this 260-nucleotide long non-coding RNA. RefSeq lists it as uncharacterized. The record is from RefSeq and is a predicted model, not a curated record. The transcript has 3 exons. Lineage: Eukaryota; Metazoa; Arthropoda; Malacostraca; Decapoda; Nephropidae.
GAUGGGCUUGCAUCCGUUCCCUGGCUAAUGACUUCACAGAUAUCGAUGUUCUCUUCAACUGUGCCGGGUACGUUCACGCAGGCAACAUUCUGGAUACAACAGAAGAACGAUGGGACUAUAGUUUUGAUGUGAAUGUGAAGAGCAUGUAUUAUACUAUCCAAGCCUUCAUUCCCCAGAUGAUCAAGAACGGUCGUGGUUCCAUCAUCAACAUGUCGUCAGUAGCAAGCACCCUGCGAGGCAUUGAGCGUCGGUGUGUAUAU